Molecule: long non-coding RNA, 365 nt
Filed under: Heterocephalus glaber (naked mole-rat)
Lineage: Eukaryota; Metazoa; Chordata; Mammalia; Rodentia; Bathyergidae
Description: lncRNA (ENSHGLG00100025941.2)
Source: RNAcentral
CCAGGGCUGGCCGGGAUGCGUGAACCUCAGAGACUCCCGUUUGCUCCCUCUUGGAACACUCACUUGUGCCUGCUCUGGUUUGGACCUGGUGGGAGAAGCUGGUGUAGACAGGUCACACGGAGGGACAGUGAGGGCCCGCCGGCUGCCUGGGUCCACGCUAGGGCAAAGUCAUCUCCACAGGAGGAAGCCGGCAGCUCUGAGAGGUGGGGACCCGGUGCUGCGACCCUCUCUCUCCUUGCUCGUCACUCUAUCUCGAGACAGGAGUCUAACAGGCAGGGGUCUGCAAUAAUGACCACAGGUGUUUACAGAAUGGUGCUGGUGGCGCUGGAGGGAGAAAACACAGGCUGGGAUCACAGGUGCAGAGG